RNAcentral lists this ribosomal RNA (253 nucleotides) under uncultured bacterium. Its description in RNAcentral is "partial 16S ribosomal RNA". It matches the Rfam family "Bacterial small subunit ribosomal RNA", at positions 524 to 776 of the family's 1533-position model. The record is from RNAcentral.
UACGUAGGGUGCGAGCGUUAAUCGGAAUUACUGGGCGUAAAGCGCACGUAGGCGGCUUUGUAAGUUAGAGGUGAAAGCCUGGAGCUCAACUCCAGAAUUGCCUUUAAGACUGCAUCGCUUGAACACGGGAGAGGUGAGUGGAAUUCCGAGUGUAGAGGUGAAAUUCGUAGAUAUUCGGAAGAACACCAGUGGCGAAGGCGGCUCACUGGACCGUUGUUGACGCUGAGGUGCGAAAGCGUGGGGAGCAAACAGG